RNAcentral lists this ribosomal RNA (415 nucleotides) under uncultured bacterium. RNAcentral's name for it is "bacterial SSU rRNA". It matches the Rfam family "Bacterial small subunit ribosomal RNA", at positions 355 to 762 of the family's 1533-position model. The record is from RNAcentral.
UAGGGAAUAUUGGACAAUGGGGGCAACCCUGAUCCAGCCAUGCCGCGUGAGUGAAGAAGGCCCUCGGGUUGUAAAGCUCUUUUGUCCGGAAAGAAAAGCUUCGGGUUAAUACCCCGGGGUUCUGACGGUACCGGAAGAAUAAGCACCGGCUAACUUCGUGCCAGCAGCCGCGGUAAUACGGAGGGUGCAAGCGUUACCCGGAAUUACUGGGCGUAAAGCGUGCGUAGGUGGUUGUUUAAGUCUGAUGUGAAAGCCCUGGGCUCAACCUUGGAAUGGCAUUUGAAACUGGGCAGCUAGAUUGCGGUAGAGGGCAGUGUAAUUCCCGGUGUAGCAGUGAAAUGCGUAGAGAUCGGGAGGAACAUCUGUGGCGAAGGCGACUGCCUGGACCAGCACUGACACUGAGGCACGAAAGCGU